This 433-nucleotide ribosomal RNA is filed under the name uncultured bacterium. RNAcentral describes it as "partial 16S ribosomal RNA". It matches the Rfam family "Bacterial small subunit ribosomal RNA", at positions 29 to 507 of the family's 1533-position model. The record is from RNAcentral.
AACGAACGCUGGCGGCAUGCCUAACACAUGCAAGUCGAACGAGACCUUCGGGUCUAUUGGCGCACGGGUGCGUAACGCGUGGGAACCUGCCCUUAGGUUCGGAAUAACUCCCCGAAAGGGGUGCUAAUACCGCAUAAUGUCUUCGGACCAAAGAUUUAUCGCCUUUGGAUGGGCCCGCGUUGGAUUAGCUAGUUGGUAGGGUAAAAGCCUACCAAGGCGACGAUCCAUAGCUGGUCUGAGAGGAUGAUCAGCCACACUGGGACUGAGACACGGCCCAGACUCCUACGGGAAGCAGCAGUGGGGAAUAUUGGACAAUGGGCGAAAGCCUGAUCCAGCAAUGCCGCGUGAGUGAUGAAGGCCUUAGGGUUGUAAAGCUCUUUUACCCGGGAUGAUAAUGACAGUACCGGGAGAAUAAGCUCCGGCUAACUCCGUG